GCGCAUUGACAGAAACCUCUUCAAAAGACCCCUCGUCAGUAUCACAGAGGGGCAACAGUCUGAUUUCACCACCCGGCAAAGUUUCACAGUGUGCGUAGCCGGUGUGGUUCUCAACUCCCUCGUAAAAUGGGAGGUUUAUAUGAUCUCCAUCCUUGUCCAUUUCCAUAGGAGGAGGAGGAGUGUUCGAUCUGUCCUCGCGGCU
Molecule: long non-coding RNA, 202 nt
Filed under: Zostera marina
Lineage: Eukaryota; Viridiplantae; Streptophyta; Magnoliopsida; Alismatales; Zosteraceae
Description: long non-coding RNA (ZMAR_LNC000038)
Source: RNAcentral